RNAcentral lists this ribosomal RNA (327 nucleotides) under uncultured eukaryote. RNAcentral describes it as "partial 18S ribosomal RNA". It matches the Rfam family "Eukaryotic small subunit ribosomal RNA", at positions 1470 to 1796 of the family's 1831-position model. The record is from RNAcentral.
CCCUUAGAUGUCCUGGGCCGCACGCGCGCUACACUGAUGCAUGCAACAAGUCUUUUCCUUGGCCGAGAGGCCUGGGCAAUCUUUGAAUAUGCAUCGUGAUGGGGAUAGACGAUUGCAAUUAUUCGUCUUCAACGAGGAAUUCCUAGUAAACGCAAGUCAUCAGCUUGCAUUGAUUACGUCCCUGCCCUUUGUACACACCGCCCGUCGCACCUACCGAUUGAAUGGUCCGGUGAAGGCUUCGGAGGCGGCUUUCUCAAUGUUUAUUCGGCGAGACUGCUGCCAAAGUUGAAUGAACCUUACCAUUUAGAGGAAGGUGAAGUCGUNACA